This 497-nucleotide ribosomal RNA is filed under the name uncultured bacterium. Its description in RNAcentral is "partial 16S ribosomal RNA". It matches the Rfam family "Bacterial small subunit ribosomal RNA", at positions 28 to 507 of the family's 1533-position model. The record is from RNAcentral.
GAUGAACGCUGGCGGCGUGCCUAAUACAUGCAAGUUGAGCGAUCGGACGAGGUGCUUGUACCAACGAUGUUAGCGGCGGACGGGUGAGUAACACGUGGGUAAUCUACCUUUAGGACGGGGACAACUUCGGGAAACGGGUGCUAAUACCUCAUAAUAUCUUGAAACACAUGGUUUAAGAUUGAAAGACGCUAUUGCAUCACUCAAUGAUUAUCUCGCGUUGUCUUAACCUGUUGGUUAAGUAAAGGCUCAACCAGGCGAUGAUAGAUAGGCGGACUGAGAGGGGGAAUCGCCACCUCGGGAACGAGAAAAGGCCCCAGAUCCUACGGGAGGGCGCAGUAGGGAAACCUUCGCAAUGGACGGAAGUCUGAACGGGGAAACGCCGCGUGAGGGAGAAAGUUCUUGGAAUCGUAAAACUCGUUUAUUGAGAAGGAACAUAGUGAUAGUCGACUGUUCACAACUUGACGGUACCUAAUCAGAAAGGCACGGCUAACUACGUG